Molecule: unclassified non-coding RNA, 366 nt
Filed under: Hevea brasiliensis (rubber tree)
Lineage: Eukaryota; Viridiplantae; Streptophyta; Magnoliopsida; Malpighiales; Euphorbiaceae
Source: RNAcentral
AACAGGCCAAGGCCAGAUGCAGCCACAGGCAGGAGAAAUACAAGAACUUUAAGAUUUCGGAAAAGAAGAAAGCUCCAGACCAACUGCAAUAGAAGCAAUGAGCAGAGCAAGUGCUAAACUGGAAAAGGAACUGCCAGUUAAGAAAAACGAUGAUGCAAUGGUAUCAGAGAUAAUGAAUCUUUUCAUAUGUUUGCUUGUCUGCAGAAGCGGCUUGCCUUGGCUUUCAUAUUUUUACAUGGGGAAUUCUUUUCCAGGAGGAUCCAAGUAGGUGGGAAGCCAAGAAGCUCUUAACCAUGUUCUGCUGUCGAAGGACAUACAAACCAAGUCUCCAAGGGGAUAUGCUGCUAGUUUGAUUUUUAAUGUGUG